AGGAUUAGCUCAGCUGGGAGAGCACCUGCCUUACAAGCAGGGGGUCGGCGGUUCGAUCCCGUCAUCCUCCACCAUA
Molecule: transfer RNA, 76 nt
Filed under: Bacillus thuringiensis Bt407
Lineage: Bacteria; Bacillati; Bacillota; Bacilli; Caryophanales; Bacillaceae
Description: tRNA-Val
Rfam family: tRNA
About the family: Transfer RNA (tRNA) molecules are approximately 80 nucleotides in length. Their secondary structure includes four short double-helical elements and three loops (D, anti-codon, and T loops).
Source: RNAcentral